This 497-nucleotide ribosomal RNA is filed under the name uncultured bacterium. RNAcentral describes it as "partial 16S ribosomal RNA". It matches the Rfam family "Bacterial small subunit ribosomal RNA", at positions 29 to 507 of the family's 1533-position model. The record is from RNAcentral.
AAUGAACGCUGGCGGCAUGCCUAAUACAUGCAAGUCGAACGAACACACAAGGAGAUUUCGCCCCUAACGUUAGCGACGGACGGAUGAGUAACACGUGGAUCACAUACCUCUUAGACUGGGAUAAUAUCGUGAAACAAGAUCUGAUACCGGAUAAUAUAUCGAACGGCAUAGUGCAGUAGUUAAAGACACUUUUCGCGUCACUAAUAGAUGAUGCCGCGUCAGAUUAGCUAGUUGGUAAGGUAACAGCAUACCAAGGCGACGAUGCGUAGCCGACCUGAGAGGGUGAUCGGCCACACUGGAACUGAGACACGGUCCAGACUCCUACGGGAGGCAGCAGUAGGGAAUCUUCCGCAAUGGGCGAAAGCCUGAUGCAGCAAUGCCGCGUGGGUGAUGAAGGUCUUCGGAUCGUAAAGCCCUGUUGUUAGGAAAGAACAAAUGUGGAUUUAAACCUGGCCGUUUUGACGGUACCUAAAGAGUAAGCCACGGCUAACUUCGUG